GGAAAAAACCCUUCAGGAAGUAACACCAUCACUGCUGUGAGAAUAUAGAAAAUCACCCCAAUCAUCUGCCAGCUGUGCAUUUAUUUUAACAACCGAGCCGUUUUCACAUAGCUGGUUUCUGUGACUUAAGCACGCUUUACUCACUGGGUGCGAGAAAUUCAAAGCAAGAUGAGAAGAGAAAGAAAAGUGAAACUCGUAGACACAUAAAACGAGGAGAAGCACAGGAAUGAGGAAAGCGUGUAAAUAAGGACCUGUAUCUCAUGAUGCCCUCCUGUAACUCUGUUAGCCGACUAACAUCCUUCAAGGCUUUCCUGAUUCUGGUAUCCAGCUUUCUUCUUCUUCAUGACGGGCAUUCUUGAUAUUCAGGAUUUCUGCUGAGGGGGCUCAGUGACUAAUUUGCUGGACCUGGAUGCCCAAGGAUCUUUCAUAACCACGACACUGCUUCAGCGACUGGCAGGAUUCACAUGUUUGCAUCAUCCUUGCACACUACUGUGUCACUGUUUCCUGAUACGGAGGUACAUUUAGCAUUGCUUUCAUAUCCUCCUUAGAACCAGCUUGUUCAUUUAUUUCCUCUGCAAUGGACAUUUGUUUUUAGUCUAUGUCUUUUGACUCAUUUGAGAUAUCUUACUAUCUCCUGAUCUACUAAAUAGAGGCCAUCCCGGGCUUUCCAUUGAUGCCUGAUGUGUUUGGGUGGUUUCUUAUAGCUUCAAAGAGGAAGGAAAUCAUAAAAAAAGUUCAAUGGAAAGAUUCUUUUGUACUCGGUUCUGAGGACGAUAUAUCCACAUGAGUCAUUGUAUGGAAGUUCAUUCAGUCCAUCAUAUUGAGCCUUUUAUAUUAUUUUCUGAUUUUUUGAUGCUGAUUUUCUGCAAAGUGAAACUUCAUAAGUCUGUACAGGUUUUGCUUUGUGUAGCCACAUGUGGAGUUUCUGUGCAUUGUAGGCAUGUUAAUGAUUAAAUGCUGCACAUCUUU
Molecule: long non-coding RNA, 969 nt
Organism: Oreochromis aureus
Lineage: Eukaryota; Metazoa; Chordata; Actinopteri; Cichliformes; Cichlidae
Exons: 3
Source: RefSeq, a predicted model, not a curated record